Molecule: non-coding RNA, 99 nt
Organism: Arachnomyces sp. PD_36
Lineage: Eukaryota; Fungi; Ascomycota; Eurotiomycetes; Onygenales; Arachnomycetaceae
Source: the annotation of a GenBank genome assembly
GCCCGGGUGGUCUAACUGGCAAUGAUUCGCGCUUUUGGGAUUUUGUCCCUUCUUAUUAGAAACACUGCGAGGUUCCGCGUUCGAAUCGCGGCUUGGGCC